GUCAUGAUCCGUGUGCAUCAUGUCCACAAGUGUCAGUUGCAUUGUCCACUGAAAGCUGAUUGACAAACCUGAUGUUUGUAGAGCUCAGCAACACCCUCUGCCUGCCAUUACCCGCUCGUGACGCCGCUGCUCCGCCACCUGCUGCUCUUCAACAGGGUGUGGAUGCCGCAGGUGAGGAGUGAGUCGUAUCUGCUGGUGUGUGCCGAGGGGACUGAACUGCAGCUGUGGGAGCGACACUGCAGCGCUGAUCUGUCCUGAAGAACAGACACUAGAUAGUCUACAGCAGCAUGGACUGUGAUCUGUUCUUCUCUAUUCUUCAGUUCCAGCCUAUAACACAUUUUCAGCGUCACAGCCACAUGAUUCAGUGAAUGGGGCAUUUAAAUCUGCACCAUAUUCUGGUUGCGCUCAUAUUCUGAAUAUGAUGUUUAUAUGCUUAAAUACGGUAGUUUUAGGUCUGCUGAUCUACACAUGCAC
Molecule: long non-coding RNA, 474 nt
Filed under: Sinocyclocheilus grahami
Lineage: Eukaryota; Metazoa; Chordata; Actinopteri; Cypriniformes; Cyprinidae
Description: lncRNA (ENSSGRG00000022967.1)
Source: RNAcentral